This 528-nucleotide ribosomal RNA is filed under the name Bruchidius villosus. RNAcentral describes it as "partial 16S ribosomal RNA". It matches the Rfam family "Bacterial large subunit ribosomal RNA", at positions 1807 to 2608 of the family's 2925-position model. The record is from RNAcentral. Lineage: Eukaryota; Metazoa; Arthropoda; Insecta; Coleoptera; Chrysomelidae.
UCAAAAACAUGGCUUAUUGAAUUUAAUUUUAAGUCUAGCCUGCCCCCUGAAUUUUUAAAUGGCCGCGGUAUUUUGACCGUGCUAAGGUAGCAUAAUCAUUAGUUUCUUAAUUAGAAGCUGGCAUGAAUGGUUGGAUGAAAAAAUUUCUGUCUCUGUUUAAAUUUAUUUGAAUUUUAUUUUUUAGUAAGAAAGCUAAAAUUAUUUUAAAAGACGAGAAGACCCUAUAGAGUUUAAUAUAUGAAUAUUUUAAUAUUUAUUGGGAUAUAAAUUUUUAAUUUUAUAAUAUAUUUAAUUGGGGUGAUUGAAAAAUUAAAUUAACUUUUUCUUUAUUAUACAUUAAUUUAUGAAUAAUUGAUCCAUAUUUUAUGAUUAAAAGAUUAAAUUACCUUAGGGAUAACAGCGUAAUGUUUUCAGAGAGUUCUUAUCGAAGAAAAAGAUUGCGACCUCGAUGUUGGAUUAAAAUAAAUAAUUGGUGUAGAAGCUAAUAUUAUUAGGUCUGUUCGACCUUUAAAAUUUUACAUGAUCUGA